GUCCUGAUAGUAUAACAAUUAUUCUGGUUUUCUAAACCAGAAAUGAAGGUUAAACCUUCUCAGGGCA
RNAcentral lists this transfer RNA (67 nucleotides) under Mesocricetus auratus (golden hamster). It matches the Rfam family "tRNA". From Rfam's summary of the family: Transfer RNA (tRNA) molecules are approximately 80 nucleotides in length. Their secondary structure includes four short double-helical elements and three loops (D, anti-codon, and T loops). The record is from Rfam by way of RNAcentral. Lineage: Eukaryota; Metazoa; Chordata; Mammalia; Rodentia; Cricetidae.